GCACCCUGCUCUUGUACAAAUCGGUCAACUUAGCUGGGAUCCCCAAAUUGUCGACGUAGACGACCCGAAUCGGCUCCUUAACCGCAUCGGCCGCCUCCACAGUCAGCGCAUACGCCUUGCCGGCCUCGCUUCCGAGAUUCAGAUUUGAAAUCUCAUCGCUGAUCCCGGUGUUUUUGGAGAGGCGGUAGAUGGGGGCGAGGACGGUGAGGCAGAGCAGCGCAAGGGCUGGUUUCCGCCACGCCGGAAAACCGCCCAUCGGGGCCGGAAAACCGGUAUAUGGUCGGAAAACCGGUG
RNAcentral lists this unclassified non-coding RNA (294 nucleotides) under Hevea brasiliensis (rubber tree). Lineage: Eukaryota; Viridiplantae; Streptophyta; Magnoliopsida; Malpighiales; Euphorbiaceae. The record is from RNAcentral.